RNAcentral lists this transfer-messenger RNA (368 nucleotides) under Lacticaseibacillus pabuli. Its description in RNAcentral is "Lacticaseibacillus sp. KACC 23028 transfer-messenger RNA". It matches the Rfam family "transfer-messenger RNA". From Rfam's summary of the family: Bacterial tmRNA, also known as 10Sa RNA or SsrA, is named for its dual tRNA and mRNA-like properties. Its role is to liberate the mRNA from a stalled ribosome. Lineage: Bacteria; Bacillati; Bacillota; Bacilli; Lactobacillales; Lactobacillaceae. The record is from RNAcentral.
GGGGGUGUAAUGGUCUCGACAUCGACAGUCACGCAUGUGGUGCACUCCGGAGGGCUCGGCUUCGUCAACAACGGCACAGUUUAUUAACUGCAAAGAACGAAAACUCUUACGCCCUCGCUGCCUAAUAAGUAGCUAAGCGUGAUCUGACCGACUUCACCCAAGGGUCGGACCCAGGUCUCAAAUUAAUUGGGUUACGGUCAGCGCCAGCCACCUGAGGUACUGACAAGAGAUAAUCAGGCUCGCGCAGUGGGGUUAGCCUUGCUGCCCGGCGCGCCCGCUGCGCUAAAUCUAAAUGGGGCGACUAUGAGUGUAGAUCUGCAUGUUGGUGGGGUCGGUGGACAGGAGUUCGAUUCUCCUCACCUCCAUUU